UACGAAGGGGGCAAGCGUUGUUCGGAUUUACUGGGCGUAAAGGGCGCGCAGGCGGCUCUUCAAGUCAGAUGUGAAAGCCCCGGGCUCAACCUGGGAACUGCAUUUGAGACUGAAGAACUCGAGUUCGGGAGAGGAUGGCGGAAUUCCCAGUGUAGAGGUGAAAUUCGUAGAUAUUGGGAGGAACACCGGUGGCGAAGGCGGCGAUCUGGACGAUGACUGACGCUGAGACGCGAAAGCGUGGGGAGCAAACAGG
This 253-nucleotide ribosomal RNA is filed under the name uncultured bacterium. RNAcentral describes it as "partial 16S ribosomal RNA". It matches the Rfam family "Bacterial small subunit ribosomal RNA", at positions 524 to 776 of the family's 1533-position model. The record is from RNAcentral.